ACCUUACCAGCUCUUGACAUCUUCUGACAACNNCUAGAGAUAGAGCGUUCCCUUCGGGGACAGAAUGACAGGUGGUGCAUGGUUGUCGUCAGCUCGUGUCGUGAGAUGUUGGGUUAAGUCCCGUAACGAGCGCAACCCUUGUUGUUAGUUGCCAGCAUUAAGUUGGGCACUUUAACGAGACUGCCGGUGAUAAACCGGAGGAAGGCGGGGAUGACGUCAAAUCAUCAUGCCCCUUAUGAGCUGGGCUACACACGUGCUACAAUGGAUGGUACAACGAGCAGCGAUCCCGCAAGGGCUAGCUAAUCUUUCAAAGCCAUUCUCAGUUCGGAUUGCACUCUGCAACUCGAGUGCAUGAAGUCGGAAUCGCUAGUAAUCGCGAAUCAGAAUGUCGCGGUGAAUCCGUUCCCGGGUCUUGUACACACCGCCCGUCACACCACGAGAGUUUGAAACACCCGAAGUCGGCCGGCCAACCCUAUGGGAG
This 481-nucleotide ribosomal RNA is filed under the name uncultured bacterium. RNAcentral describes it as "bacterial SSU rRNA". It matches the Rfam family "Bacterial small subunit ribosomal RNA", at positions 968 to 1449 of the family's 1533-position model. The record is from RNAcentral.